GCUGGGGUAGCUCAGUGGAUUGAGCGUUGUUUCAUGGACCUAGAGGUCCUGGGUUCGAUUCCCAGUCAGAGCA
Molecule: non-coding RNA, 73 nt
Organism: Myotis lucifugus (little brown bat)
Lineage: Eukaryota; Metazoa; Chordata; Mammalia; Chiroptera; Vespertilionidae
Source: Rfam